RNAcentral lists this ribosomal RNA (117 nucleotides) under bacterium. The record is from RNAcentral.
UCUGGUCUCUGGAGCGAGGUGGAACCAACUCUUCCCUUCCCGAACAGAGUCUUGAAACGCCUUAGCGCCGACAAUAAUGCCUGGGCAACUGGGUGUGAAGAUAGGUCGAGGCCAGAA